Molecule: ribosomal RNA, 117 nt
Filed under: Danio rerio (zebrafish)
Lineage: Eukaryota; Metazoa; Chordata; Actinopteri; Cypriniformes; Danionidae
Source: RNAcentral
UUCAGUAAAAAAGCAUGUAUGCAACUCUCACAUGGUCGCCCACUGAAGCUAAGCAGGGCUGCCCCUGGUCAAUAGCUGGAUGGGAAACCACAUGGGAAAGCUAGGUUGAUGCCGGAA